CUACCUACGGGAGGCAGCAGUGAGGAAUAUUGGUCAAUGGCCGGGAGGCUGAACCAGCCAAGUCGCGUGAGGGAAUAAGGCCCUAUGGGUCGUAAACCUCUUUUGUCAGGGAGCAAAGGCGUCCACGAGUGGACGAAAGGAGAGUACCUGAAGAAAAAGCAUCGGCUAACUCCGUGCCAGCAGCCGCGGUAAUACGGAGGCUGCGAGCGUUAUCCGGAUUUAUUGGGCGAAAAGGGAACGCAG
This 243-nucleotide ribosomal RNA is filed under the name uncultured bacterium. RNAcentral describes it as "partial 16S ribosomal RNA". It matches the Rfam family "Bacterial small subunit ribosomal RNA", at positions 335 to 574 of the family's 1533-position model. The record is from RNAcentral.